Molecule: ribosomal RNA, 468 nt
Filed under: uncultured bacterium
Lineage: Bacteria
Description: partial 16S ribosomal RNA
Rfam family: Bacterial small subunit ribosomal RNA
Source: RNAcentral
GACGAACGCUGGCGGCGUGCUUAACACAUGCAAGUCGAACGGAAAGGCCCUGCUUUUGUGGGGUGCUCGAGUGGCGAACGGGUGAGUAACACGUGAGUAACCUGCCCUUGACUUUGGGAUAACUUCAGGAAACUGGGGCUAAUACCGGAUAGGAGCUCCUGCUGCAUGGUGGGGGUUGGAGAGUUUCGGCGGUUGGGGAUGGACUCGCGGCUUAUCAGCUUGUUGGUGGGGUAGUGGCUUACCAAGGCUUUGACGGGUAGCCGGCCUGAGAGGGUGACCGGCCACAUUGGGACUGAGAUACGGCCCAGACUCCUACGGGAGGCAGCAGUGGGGAAUAUUGCACAAUGGGCGGAAGCCUGAUGCAGCAACGCCGCGUGCGGGAUGACGGCCUUCGGGUUGUAAACCGCUUUCGCCUGUGACGAAGCGUGAGUGACGGUAAUGGGUAAAGAAGCACCGGCUAAUUACGUG